RNAcentral lists this ribosomal RNA (118 nucleotides) under uncultured bacterium. RNAcentral describes it as "partial 16S ribosomal RNA". It matches the Rfam family "Bacterial small subunit ribosomal RNA", at positions 1386 to 1501 of the family's 1533-position model. The record is from RNAcentral.
CACACCGCCCGUCACGCCAUGGGAGUUGGCUUUACCCGAAGGCGGUGCGCUAACCAGCAAUGGAGGCAGCCGACCACGGUAGGGUCAGCGACUGGGGUGAAGUCGUAACAAGGUACCC